GGCACUUUUAACCGAGUUCACCACAUGCACGCCUCACGGAGAGGAUAGGAAUGCUAAUCAACUGGUUUCCUCCGCGACUUGCAAACAGAGCGCAGCAAACAGCAACAGCUCGCAACUUGGAGAUCCUCCGAUUCAAAUGUGUUCUGGUUGGUUUUAGAUGUAUUAUUUAGUCUUUAUCCAUCACUAUGUUCAUUGUUGGAUUCAUCAGUAUUGUUGACUGUGAAUUUACUACAUGGAGAUACCAUUUUGUUUAAUAGACAGAGACAGCGGAUUCAUAACGACUUUGUAACAGAGCGGACUUCUGGUGGAUUUCUGGAUUUCUACUCUCAGGAAUUGGGAAGCCCGAGCUGCUUGCUUGUGUGUGUGUGUGGGUGUGUGGGUGUUUAGGUGACUGUGUGAAUAAUUGUGUGAGGAUUCCGCACGUCCAUCCUCAACAGUUAAUGCUGUCAGAGAGCAGAGAAGUGUGUUAUUGAGACACUUAGCGUGGAAACACACACACAGAACCCCCCCCCCAAACACACACACAGUGCUGUCACACACUGUCUGCCGAUGAGCUCUGUCAUGCAGUCGUUUCUCUCUCCAGUGAACAAGGCUAUUCUAGUAGCUCUGUUCAUCUUCGCCAUCCUCCUUAUCCUCUAUGUGAUCCUCUGGUACAUCUGUAGAGACGUGGACUGCGACCACGGUAUCUGAUCUGAUUAACACCGGGAACACCACCGAAUAACCUAACGGUGGAUAGAGACCCGUCUGAAAGAGGGUCACCCUGAGCUGCCCAGACAACAUGGCAGAGUUGGUAUAGUGACGGGAGGCAUCAGUGGAAUCUGCUUUGAGACCGCAAGACACAUGGCCAGCCUGGGGGCACACUUUAUCAUAGCUGGACAGCAGGAGCGGGAGGGUGUGUCUGCUGUGAAGAGGAUUCGUGAGGAGAACAGAGAGGCCAAAGGUCACAGUCCCCACAACCCUGUUUGGUUUUGUGUCUCCUUGGCUCUGGAUAUUACUGAUUGGCUGGAGAGUGAACACACCUUUUCAAAGUGGUGUUUGAGCAGUUGGAUUUGGCGUCUUUGCUGUCAGUAAGGCAAUUCAUCAAGACAUUCAAGAGAGGCUGUAUAGAAGAGGGUUCCCAGUGAGCUCAUGUGCAGUGGACCCUGGGAUGGUCGACACGUCGCUCUACCGCCACCUCUUCCCCCCCGGUCGUCUUGCACAGACAGCCAUCACACGCCUACUCUUUAGGGUACACACGAGCCCGUCCCAGGCAGCGUCUAUGGUCCUCUACACUUCUCUGUCUCCGUCUCUGGAAGGGGAGAGAGGGGGCUACUGGAGCAACGGACGCACAGAGAUGUCAACACCAAACACCUACCACCCCAGGCUCCAGCUCAGCCUCUGGGACUUCAGCUGCAGACUAGUGAGCUUGCAGGAGCAGCACCAACCAUGACCCCUGACCUCUAACCCCUGAGCUCUUAGUCCAUGACCCUGACACCAACACUGUAUGGCUGAGACCCAACACCUCAUCUGUCAUCCUGCCAUUAUCUUUGUUUUCACAAUCUCCUCACCGCCAGACUGUGAUUGGAUAAAGACUGAUGACCAAGGCUGGACUGUGAUUGGUUAGUGAAGCGGUAAGACCUGUUGCAUACUCUUCAGAUGAAUGGGCUGAUGAAAAUGAACCAACCUUCUCCCUCAGGCACUGUGAACCCACACACACUGUGUUAUGAGUGUUUAUAGUGCUGCUAUGAGUGUUCAUAGUGACCUCUUGAAAAUGUAUAGCAACCUUAUGCCGGUUGGUACACAGAUCAGAACAGAAAGAACCUUCCCUCCAUGGGAAAACUUGAUUUAACCAUAAACAAGUGUCAUCAGUGUGUGUAUGUGUCCGUAUCAGUUAUCAGUGUGUGUGAGUGAUUUUGUCAGUAGCAUCCUGUGUCUAUGAAACAUAUCCUGAUCCCUGCCUGACUGGAUGGUCCAGGACCAAGGAACAAGCCGGCAUGGCAAUAACAUCAGUAAAUCACAGCCUGAAACUGAUAUUUUCAGUUCUUGUGAAAGCAAGCAAAAGGUAUUUUGUGGAAUUUUCCCCAACGCUGUGGGUUACUUCCCCAUGGAGCCAACACCAUCUGAGAGAAUGAAUGCUUUUAGAUUGUGUCCUAUCUGCUGGGCUGUGAGUCACACACUGUGUCAUGGUGUUUGUCCGCCUUUGUUACUGUUAGAGGUGAGUGAUGUUUUAUCAAUACAUACAUACACCUCUCUCAAUACAUCAUGUUGCUGUGUGUGUUUCUGGGCACAGUAUGUAUGUGUGUGUGUGUCUUUCAGUGUGCACUGUUUGUGUGUUUCUUACAGUCAUUGGUUUGUAUGCAUCAGUGGCGGUUCUAGCUUGUAUGGCUCACUGGGCGAACCCCCCCUUCAGCACGCCCCCCCCCCUCUAAAAUACACAAUUCUGCACUAACUGUACUUUUAUUCAGACAUUUGGAACAACGCAAAUAAAUAAUCAUCAUUUAAAACUAUAUAAAUAUAAAAAUAUAUACAACAAUAAGAUGCAUAAAUAUCAAAAAGAAGUAACAAAGACAAAUAGAAACAAAUUUGUGUUGAUUUGGCACUUGAACAUCGUCCCAUUACCCAUCCCCCAACACUGUUAACCAAGAGUCAAGAUUAAACCAAUUCACCUUGGUGGUGUCCAGAAAAAAAUGCAACAAUAUGUCUGUGAAACUGUGGUUAUUUAUGGUGGUUUAUUUGGUAUACUUUCGUAGUGUGACCGAUUUUACUAAUUGCAUUAGUACUGUACAGAGUUAGAGGUGCGCUAUUUGAUAGAUUCCCUCACUCCCCCUACCUCUGGCUUCCAGUGGGGAGACCUGAGGUCAUCUCGUACUUCUCGUCAUCUCGUCCGCCCCCUUCCCAUCUCGUACUUCUGAGUGGGAGACCUUCCCAGGCAGUAACCUGUCUAGCUCACAAACUAGAAUCAGGGCACCCACUCCGACAAGUUUAAUUGACCCACAGUCCCACACGGUGACAUGAUAUCAUUGACGUGACGUGCAACUGAGCGAUAGAAAACCGAUCGCGCAAAUGUCACCAUUACGUUUUUGUGUGGGCGUCCCGUGCUGCCCAUGUCACCUGUACCUAAAUCCACCACUGGUAUGCAUCAAUAAAACGGCUGUACAACUGAAACCAAUACGGAUGAAUGUGGCGGUGAGAGCGGGAAAGAGAGACAGAGAGUGAGAGAGAUUCUUCCUCUGUGGUGUUUCAUCUUCUCUCGCUGCUGCUACCUCAUUUUCCCUUGCUCCCAGUGCAUGUGGGAGGUAGAUUUCCCAGUGGAAAUUAUGCAAAGUGAAGACAAAGACAAACAGACGCACACACACACACAUAACCACCUGUGCAACCAAGCACAGACUUAUCGAAACAAUCAAGUCACACUCUCAUGGCCAGGGGCAGACUGGGACCAGAAAUUGGCCCUGGAGUUUCAAACACAAUGGCCCAUUUUAUUAAUUGAGGCCCCCAUUAUUAGCCAGAUAAUGCUAAUUUUGCCCAAAAAACCCAAGUUAGCCCAAUGUGCUAAAAACGGACCAGCCAGUCUUCCCCUGCUCAUGGCCAAACCAUACCCACUGUGAUUUAUCUACCAACAGUGCUCUGAUUUACAGGCUUAUAUCAAACUAGCUUCCUUUAUAUGACACACACAUUCCCACAGAGACUAGUAUAUCAGGACAGGGGAUAACUACAGACUCUGUGUGUAACCUUCCUUUACUUUACCCUUCCAGUCUCCUAGGGGCUGAUUCCAACAUAGGAAGUGUACGCCUUUCUUACGCACGCCUUUCAGACUUACCUUAUGAAGGUGUGUAACAGGCUUUGCAGGCAUGGUUCCCUUGUACACGCUGAAUUAAUAUAUUUAAACUGCUGAAAAACCUCUCAAUUGCUGGCCAACAGAAUUUCUCGUGGUGUUUUCAUAGGGUUUUCAGUACAUUUAUCUAAAGACAUUCUUUUAAAUGUGUUCACUAGAAUAUAUGGAGAGAAUGGGUCAGUAUAUUAGGGAUCAAUAGAAGAAAGCUAUGUAGGCCUAAAUUCAUUUGUCUCUUUUUCAUCACCAAUUGGUAAAUUAAAAAAUACUCUUGUAUUAUUUAGGGUUAGGAAAGUAUUUAUGAAUAAUAAAAUAACAUUUGGAGAGCCUUUACGCACUAAAUAUAUUUGUUGAUUCAUCCUGAAAGUUGCCAUAUAUUUAAUUGUUCAAUUCAUUAAAUAUUGUUCAGGAACAACCGCAACAAACGUGAUGAUGCAAAAUGUAAGGAAACGAACACAAGUGAAAGUUAUACAUGUAUGUGGGUAUAACUGACGGUGGAACCAAUCGUAAAACAUGAAACCAAUCGUAAAAAAAUACAGUGAAAAGUCUGACCAUAUAAUUAAAACUCUAGACAUCAUAAAUCAACUUGGUAGGUUUGGCGCUAUACGUUCAUUUGCACAUGGCUAUAAAGGCCUAUAGUUUGGGUCUCCAAAUGUCAUCCUUGUAAGUUAUAAGGACAGCAUUUCAUAAACUGCACUGUGGAAAAGGUGAUAUGUUGAUAUGCUUCAGUUUGCUGCCAUACUGUAGUACUGGUUUCACAUUUGUCUUCAGCAAUCAUAAGGUAAAAUAGAUCUAAAACAAUUAUCAUUUAUAUUUACUCAUUUACCUAACUUUUUUUUUAAAUACAGUGCAUGGAGAAUGGCGUUAUGUAGAUUGGAAAAAAUAAAGUAGUUUCUUGACCUUAAUCGUUGUUUCAUCACUCGUAAAGGUGGUGGAAUUAUGAGGGAAUUAAGUCAAGAAUACAGCGUUUCUGUAGACACACCUCCACCCCACUUGAAUUUCUUUGAUCUCCACCCCACUUGAAUUUCUUUGAUCUCCACCCCACUUUAAUUUCUUUGAUCUCCACCCCAAAGGAAUAGUGGGUGAAUAGCAUGAUAUUUCAUUCUUAAAUUCAAGGUCAGAAUAAUCGUGAAGAGAAAAGUGCAUAACAAGAGAAUAAGGUUCCAUUUACGCGCAUUUAGCUCGGUCGGAAUCCCCCUACUGAACACAAGGUUCAUGUCUUCCAGAGAGGUGUGUGAGUGUGUAGCUGUCAGACUGCAUGCUCUUUGGGUUGAUUAUUCUGGGUAGGGUCAGGUUAGUUUGGACUAAACCAAGGUUAUCUGCUGUAUACCUCAUUGGGCCAACAGAGUACUUUGCAAUAGGGUGCCAUUUUGUACACAGCCCAUAUAAUACACCCUUAGGGUUUGUAUUAAAUGGUUCUGUCCCAGUCGGAUGGGAAAACACACAGGGCUCCACUCAAUCAAACACAGUAGUCCUACAGUCCAUUGUCAAAUUAAUCACAGAAUGUUUCUGGUUUCUGAAAACAUAACUUUAUUCCCAGCUGUGAGAAUCCCAUCACAGGCACAUGUAGAUAAUUCCAGAUUUUAAAAUAAGAAGUGUGUGUUUGCAGAAGUUUGUAUGAACAUCACCAUGAUGUGUUUGAUUGAAUUCCAGACUGUUGACAUACAUAGGGGGCUACAGGAGAAUAGACAAGAUAUUGAUCAUGUUGAUUUAAAAUGUGCAAAAUAUAUUUUGGUUGAAAAUGUAUCUCUUGCUUUGCUGUGCCUGAACUCCCUCAAAUGUAGAAUUCGACUGAAUUUCCAUGUAAUUUAGCUGUAGUAAAACUGAACUGUAGUGUCUUGUUAUUGUCAUAUUUCUGUAAAAACCUUUGAUAAACAGUGGUCUGCUGUUUGAGAAGUAUGAAGACCUUAUACCUGCAGGAGAAAGACUUCUGUUCACUAUGAAGACUGUGUCAUAUGGAGAUUAUGGUUAGUGUGAAUAUGGAGGUCAGUGUUUGUCAAUAUGAAGAGUAUUUUUAUGUGGUUGUGAUGUUCUCCUCCUUUUCUACCACCCAAAACCUCCAUAAACAUUUCAUUGUGCC
Long non-coding RNA from Oncorhynchus tshawytscha (Chinook salmon), 5888 nucleotides. The record is from Ensembl. NCBI's taxonomy places the organism in Eukaryota, Metazoa, Chordata, Actinopteri, Salmoniformes, Salmonidae.